RNAcentral lists this ribosomal RNA (209 nucleotides) under uncultured bacterium. RNAcentral describes it as "partial 16S ribosomal RNA". It matches the Rfam family "Bacterial small subunit ribosomal RNA", at positions 568 to 776 of the family's 1533-position model. The record is from RNAcentral.
CACGUAGGCGGUUUGUUAAGUGAGAGGUGAAAUCCCAGAGCUCAACUCUGGAACUGCCUGUCAUACAGGCAAGCUAGAGUCCAGAAGAGGUGAGUGGAACUCCUAGUGUAGAGGUGGAAUUCGUAGAUAUUAGGAAGAACACCAGUGGCGAAGGCGGCUUACUGGUCCGGAACUGACGCUGAGGUGCGAAAGCGUGGGGAGCAAACAGG